AUCCAUGGCCAGGUUGAAGGUGUGGUAACACACACUGGAGGACCGAACCGACUAGUGUUGCAAAAUUAGCGGAUGAGCUGUGGAUAGGGGUGAAAGGCCAAACAAAUCUGGAGAUAGCUGGUUCUCCCCGAAAACUAUUGAGGUAGUGCCUCGUGUGUCGCUCCAGGGGGUAGAGCACUGUUUUGGCUAGGGGGACAUGGAGUCUUACCAAACCAAGGCAAACUCCGAAUACCUGGAAGCGUGAGCACGGGAGACAGAGCACCGGGUGCUAACGUCCGGACUCAAAAGGGAAACAACCCAGACCGCCGGCUAAGGUCCCAAAUAACAGCUAAGUGGAAAACGAAGUGGAAAGGCCGUGACAACCAGGAAGUUGGCUUAGAAGCAGCCAUCCUUCAAAGAAAGCGUAAUAGCUCACUGGUCGAGUCCUUCUGCGCGGAAGAUGUAACGGGGCUAAGCUGUUAACCGAAGCCGCGGAUGCACUGGUUAUCCAGUGCGUGGUAGGGGAGCGUUCUGUAAGUCUGCGAAGGCGGUUCGAGAGGACUGCUGGAGAUAUCAGAAGUGCGAAUGCUGACAUGAGUAACGUUAAAGCAGGUGAAAAGCCUGCUCGCCGUAAGCCCAAGGAUUCCUGCUCUACGUUCAUCGGAGCAGGGUGAGUCGGCUCCUAAGGUCAGGCCGAAAGGCGUAGCCGAUGGGAAUCAGGUUAAUAUUCCUGAACCUGCGUCAGAUGCGAUGGGGGGACGGAGCAUGGAAGAUCAUCCGGGUGUUGGAAGUCCCGGUUGUUGAGCGUAGGAGGUCUGCAGGCAAAUCCGCAGACGCAUCUCCAAGGCAAAGACACGUGCCGCCACGGCGGCGAAGUGAUCGGAAGUGCUUCCAAGAAAAGCCUCUAAGCCCCAGUCUGAUGCGGACCGUACCGCAAACCGACACUGGUGGGCGAGCUGAAUAUGCUCAGGCGCUUGAGAGAACUCGGGAGAAGGAACUCGGCAAAUUGACACCGUAACUUCGGAAGAAGGUGUGCCGUAGUACCGUGAGAGGAGAGACACCUUGAGCGGGAAACGGUCUCAGAGAAUAGGUGGCUGCGACUGUUUAUUAAAAACACAGCACUCUGCAAAGUCGAAAGACGACGUAUAGGGUGUGAUGCCUGCCCGGUGCUGGAAGAUUAAUUGAUGGGGUGAGAGCCCUUGAUCGAAGUCCCAGUAAACGGCGGCCGUAACUAUAACGGUCCUAAGGUAGCGAAAUUCCUUGUCGGGUAAGUUCCGACCUGCACGAAUGGCAUAACGAUGGCCACACUGUCUCCUCC
Molecule: ribosomal RNA, 1297 nt
Filed under: gut metagenome
Description: bacterial LSU rRNA
Rfam family: Bacterial large subunit ribosomal RNA
Source: RNAcentral